UACGUAGGGGGCGAGCGUUGUCCGGAAUUACUGGGCGUAAAGUGUGCGCAGGCGGCCGCGCAAGUCGAGUGUGAAAGCCCCGAGCUUAACUUGGGAAUUGCGCUCGAAACUACGUGGCUGGAGUGUGGCAGAGGAAGGUGGAAUUCCACGUGUAGCGGUGAAAUGCGUAGAGAUGUGGAGGAACACCGGUGGCGAAGGCGGCAUCCUGGACCGACACUGACGCUGAGGAGCGAAAGCCAGGGGAGCAAACGGG
RNAcentral lists this ribosomal RNA (253 nucleotides) under uncultured bacterium. Its description in RNAcentral is "partial 16S ribosomal RNA". It matches the Rfam family "Bacterial small subunit ribosomal RNA", at positions 524 to 776 of the family's 1533-position model. The record is from RNAcentral.